GAUGAACGCUGGCGGCGUGCCUAACACAUGCAAGUCGAGCGAUUUACUUCGGUAAAGAGCGGCGGACGGGUGAGUAACGCGUGGGUAACCUGCCCUGUACACACGGAUAACAUACCGAAAGGUAUGCUAAUACGAGAUAAUAUACUUUUAUCGCAUGGUAGAAGUAUCAAAGCUUUUGCGGUACAGGAUGGACCCGCGUCUGAUUAGUUAGUUGGUAAGGUAACGGCUUACCAAGGCGACGAUCAGUAGCCGACCUGAGAGGGUGAUCGGCCACAUUGGAACUGAGACACGGUCCAAACUCCUACGGGAGGCAGCAGUGGGGAAUAUUGCACAAUGGGCGAAAGCCUGAUGCAGCAACGCCGCGUGAGCGAUGAAGGCCUUAGGGUCGUAAAGCUAUGUCCUCAAGGAAGAUAAUGACGGUACUUGAGGAGGAAGCCCCGGCUAACUACGUG
RNAcentral lists this ribosomal RNA (452 nucleotides) under uncultured bacterium. RNAcentral's name for it is "bacterial SSU rRNA". It matches the Rfam family "Bacterial small subunit ribosomal RNA", at positions 28 to 507 of the family's 1533-position model. The record is from RNAcentral.